Molecule: ribosomal RNA, 850 nt
Filed under: uncultured bacterium
Lineage: Bacteria
Description: bacterial SSU rRNA
Rfam family: Bacterial small subunit ribosomal RNA
Source: RNAcentral
GGCGUGCCUAACACAUGCAAGUCGAACGGUAACAGGUCUUCGGAUGCUGACGAGUGGCGCACGGGUGAGUAACGCGUGGAUAUCUGCCUAUUAGUGGGGGACAACUUUCGGAAACGGAAGCUAAUACCGCAUAAUCUCUACGGAGGAAAGCAGGGGACCUUUCGGGGCCUUGUGCUGAUAGAUGAGUCCGCGUCUGAUUAGCUAGUUGGUAGGGUAAAGGCCUACCAAGGCGAUGAUCAGUAUCUGGUUUGAGAGGAUGAUCAGACACACUGGAACUGAGACACGGUCCAGACUUCUACGGAAGGCAGCAGUGGGGAAUAUUGCACAAUGGGGGAAACCCUGAUGCAGCGACGCCGCGUGUGGGAAGAAGGCUUUAGGGUUGUAAACCACUUUCAAUUGGGAAGAAGAGAUGAGUACUAAUAUUAUUCUGAUUUGACGGUACCUUUAGAAGAAGCACCGGCUAAUUUCGUGCCAGCAGCCGCGGUAAUACGAAAGGUGCAAGCGUUGUUCGGAUUUACUGGGCGUAAAGCGAGUGUAGGUUGUUUAUUAAGUCGGAUGUGAAAUCCCAGGGCUCAACCCUGGAACUGCAUUCGAUACUGAUAGGCUAGAGUUCGGGAGGGGUAAGCGGAAUUCCGUGUGUAGCAGUGAAAUGCGUAGAUAUACGGAGGAACACCUGAGGCGAAGGCGGCUUACUGGACCGAUACUGACACUGAGACUCGAAAGCGUGGGUAGCAAACAGGAUUAGAUACCCUGGUAGUCCACGCCCUAAACGAUGUCAACUAGCCGUUGCGGGUAUCGACCCCUGCAGUGGCGAAGCUAACGCGAUAAGUUGACCGCCUGGGGAGUACGG